AUGGGCGCAAGCCUGAUCUAGCCAUGCCGCGUGAGUGAUGAAGGCCUUAGGGUCGUAAAGCUCUUUCGCCAGGGAUGAUAAUGACAGUACCUGGUAAAGAAACCCCGGCUAACUCCGUGCCAUCAGCCGCGGUGAUAGGGAGGGGGCUAGCGUUGUUCGGAAUUACUGGGCGUAAAGCGCACGUAGGCGGAUUUUUAAGUCAGGGGUGAAAUCCCGGGGCUCAACCCCGGAACUGCCUUUGAAACUGGAAGUCUUGAGUUCAGGAGAGGUGAGUGGAAUUCCGAGUGUAGAGGUGAAAUUCGUAGAUAUUCGGAGGAACACCAGUGGCGAAGGCGGCUCACUGGCUCGAUACUGACGCUGAGGUGCGAAAGUGUGGGGAGCAAACAGGAUUAGAUACCCUGGUAGUCCACACCGUAAACGAUGAAUGCCAGUCGUCGGCAAGCAUGCUUGUCGGUGACACACCUAACGGAUUAAGCAUUCCGCCUGGGGAGUACGGUCGCAAGAUUAAAACUCAAA
This 516-nucleotide ribosomal RNA is filed under the name uncultured Oceanicola sp. RNAcentral's name for it is "bacterial SSU rRNA". It matches the Rfam family "Bacterial small subunit ribosomal RNA", at positions 371 to 905 of the family's 1533-position model. Lineage: Bacteria; Pseudomonadati; Pseudomonadota; Alphaproteobacteria; Rhodobacterales; Roseobacteraceae. The record is from RNAcentral.